RNAcentral lists this ribosomal RNA (468 nucleotides) under uncultured bacterium. Its description in RNAcentral is "partial 16S ribosomal RNA". It matches the Rfam family "Bacterial small subunit ribosomal RNA", at positions 28 to 507 of the family's 1533-position model. The record is from RNAcentral.
GACGAACGCUGGCGGCGUGCUUAACACAUGCAAGUCGAACGGAAAGGCCCUGCUAUUGUGGGGUGCUCGAGUGGCGAACGGGUGAGUAACACGUGAGUAACCUGCCCUUGACUUUGGGAUAACUUCAGGAAACUGGGGCUAAUACCGGAUAGGAGCUCCUGCUGCAUGGUGGGGGUUGGAAAGUUUCGGCGGUCGGGGAUGGACUCGCGGCUUAUCAGCUUGUCGGUGGGGUAGUGGCUUACCAAGGCUUUGACGGGUAGCCGGCCUGAGAAGGUGACCGGCCACAUUGGGACUGGGGUACGGCCCAGACUCCUACGGGAGGCAGCAGUGGGGGAUAUUGCACAAUGGGCGGAAGCCUGAUGCAGCAACGCCGCGUGCGGGAUAACGGCCUUCGGGUUGUAAACCGCUUUCGCCUGUGACGAAGCGUGAGUGACGGUAAUGGGUAAAGAAGCACCGGCUAACUACGUG